Long non-coding RNA from Rhodamnia argentea, 345 nucleotides. RefSeq lists it as uncharacterized. NCBI's taxonomy places the organism in Eukaryota, Viridiplantae, Streptophyta, Magnoliopsida, Myrtales, Myrtaceae. The record is from RefSeq and is a predicted model, not a curated record. The transcript has 2 exons.
CGUCCAGCGUGUUCUUUCAUAGCAUCUGCAUUUCCUCGAACUUCUCAUUUCCUUGCACCCACAGGCUUUGGCGGAGAAUUUCCUUCGCUACUACAUUGUGGAUGGAAUUUUGUCAUGUAGGCCUAUUUAGAAGGAUGUUAUUCAUCAAAAAUCAUGUUGGCCGAGGUAUCUAUCAUUCGUUUGAUCAAAUUUCUGAACUAGAUCCACGUUUGUUCAAUUAUGUAAUGCUGGCCAAGAACCUCAUGUAUAAAAUUGAAUUGAUCCUGAUGUGUUUUCAAGUUCAUAUGAACCGAAUUGAUUCCUAUAUUUGUUUGCUUAUUUUUGAACUGAUCCUGUUUAGUCGUU